AGAGUAUCAAUUGGAGGGCAAGUCUGGUGCCAGCAGCCGCGGUAAUUCCAGCUCCAAUAGCGUAUAUUAAAAUUGUUGCAGUUAAAAAGCUCGUAGUUGAAUUUCUGCUGCAUUGCUUGUGUCCCUCUGGGGUCUGUGCAUGUGGCUUUUUUCGGACGGAGUUUCUUUGUCUGAAUGUUUACUUUGAGAAAAUUAGAGUGCUCAAAGCAGGCUUUCGCCUUGAAUAGUUUAGCAUGGAAUAAUAAAGUAGGACUUUGGUUCUAUUUUGUUGGUUUUAGGUACCAAAGUAAUGGUUAAUAGGAACAGUUGGGGGCAUUCGUAUUUAACUGUCAGAGGUGAAAUUCUUAGAUUUGUUAAAGACGAACUACUGCGAAAGCAUUUGCCAAGGAUGUUUUCAUUAAUCAAGAACGAAAGUUAGGGGAUCGAAGACGAUCAGAUACCGUCGUAGUCCUAACCAUAAACUA
RNAcentral lists this ribosomal RNA (464 nucleotides) under Theileria annulata. RNAcentral describes it as "SSU rRNA". It matches the Rfam family "Eukaryotic small subunit ribosomal RNA", at positions 538 to 1039 of the family's 1831-position model. The record is from RNAcentral. Lineage: Eukaryota; Apicomplexa; Aconoidasida; Piroplasmida; Theileriidae.